AUUGAACGCUGGCGGCAGGCCUAACACAUGCAAGUCGAGCGGAUGAAGGGAGCUUGCUCCUGGAUUCAGCGGCGGACGGGUGAGUAAUGCCUAGGAAUCUGCCUGGUAGUGGGGGAUAACGUCCGGAAACGGGCGCUAAUACCGCAUACGUCCUGAGGGAGAAAGUGGAGGAUCUUCGGACCUCACGCUAUCAGAUGAGCCUAGGUCGGAUUAGCUAGUUGGUGGGGUAAAGGCCUACCAAGGCGACGAUCCGUAACUGGUCUGAGAGGAUGAUCAGUCACAGUGAAGAAGAGACAGGGCCCAGACCCCGGGGGGGGACACAGGGGGGGAUUAGUGGACACGGGGGGAGAGCCUGACCCACCACUGCGGCGUGGGGGAGGAGGUUCUUGGAUUGUAAAAGAAUUUUAAUGUGGGGGAAGGGAAAUAAAUUUAUAACUUUCUUGUUUUGAGGUGCCAAAAAAAAAAGACGCGGCCUACCUUCGCG
RNAcentral lists this ribosomal RNA (484 nucleotides) under uncultured bacterium. RNAcentral's name for it is "partial 16S ribosomal RNA". It matches the Rfam family "Bacterial small subunit ribosomal RNA", at positions 29 to 507 of the family's 1533-position model. The record is from RNAcentral.